UGCCAGACUCCUACGGGAGGCAGCAGUGAGGAAUAUUGGUCAAUGGUCGGGAGACUGAACCAGCCAAGCCGCGUGAGGGAUGAAGGUACAGAGUAUCGUAAACCUCUUUUGUCAGGGAACAAAGGCGGGGACGUGUCCCCGGAUGAGUGUACCUGAAGAAAAAGCAUCGGCUAACUCCGUGCCAGCAGCCGCGGUAAUACGGAGGAUGCGAGCGUUAUCCGGAUUUAUUGGGUUUAAAGGGUGCGCAGGCGGAUUUUUAAGUCAGCGGUCAAAUCGUGGGGCUCAACCCCAUCCAGCCGUUGAAACUGGGGAUCUAGAGUGUGCGAGAGGUAUGCGGAAUGCGUGGUGUAGCGGUGAAAUGCAUAGAUAUCACGCAGAACCCCGAUUGCGAAGGCAGCAUACCGGUGCACAACUGACGCUCAGGCACGAAAGCGUGGGUAUCGAACAGGAUUAGAUACCUAGA
Molecule: ribosomal RNA, 463 nt
Filed under: uncultured bacterium
Lineage: Bacteria
Description: bacterial SSU rRNA
Rfam family: Bacterial small subunit ribosomal RNA
Source: RNAcentral